This is a long non-coding RNA of Daktulosphaira vitifoliae (grape phylloxera), 875 nucleotides long. RefSeq lists it as uncharacterized. The record is from RefSeq and is a predicted model, not a curated record. The transcript has 3 exons. NCBI's taxonomy places the organism in Eukaryota, Metazoa, Arthropoda, Insecta, Hemiptera, Phylloxeridae.
UUCAGAGACUGUACGAUCUACUUGUUAUGCAUGUCAAGAAUUAUUUUACAAAAAUAGUAAAGAAAUAAAUUUGACGAAUUGUUGUAAGAACACUGUAUGUGAUAAUUGUUUUCAUAAAAAAUAUUCUCAGUAUAUCGUAAGAAUUCAAAAACAGUGUCCAUGUUAUAAGGAGUGUAGUAGUAGUGAUGCCGUAAAUAUUAACGAAAAUUCUAAAAAUAUCGUUGACAACAACGUUAGCAAAGACACUAUAAAAUGUUUAGACAAAGAAUGUCGAAUUUGCUUUGGGCAUUCAAAAAAUUGAAAAUACAGUAUUUCUCUAUUUGUCCACGUAUUAUUUGUAAAGAUUGCUCCAAAAUAAUGAAAAAUACCAAUAAUAUCAACACCCAUUUGUAAGACAUAAUGUUACAUAAAGAAAAAAAUGGAUACAAUGCUUUUCUGAAGAUGCGUUGACAUAUUUUGUAAUGACUCUGUAUAAUAUCGUUAUCUAAACAUAAUUUUGAAAUUUAUUAGGCAAAUUUUAAUUAAAAAAUAUGUAUUAAUAUCUCAAUUUUCUGUCAAUUAUAAUUUUAAUUGUCUUAUUAAUAAUAGUAAUUUGUAUUCUCAGUUUUAUUUUACUUCCUCAUUAUUUUGAAAGAGAAAUCAUCUUCCCAUAAAACUACAAUAAUUACACAAGAUGAAUAUAUUAAUACAGAAAAUAAAAGUAAAAGAAUUAUUACAAGACACUCCUGAAGUACAAUAAUAGUUAUAUAAGUUGUAAAUAGUUCGUAUUCUUAAAAAAAUAAACAGAAAACCAUAAUAAAAAUAUGUAAAAAUUUUGUACCUCAAAAUAUAAAAAAAAAAUAUUGUUAAUUUAGAAUUAGCUUUAAUUAAUUCUU